RNAcentral lists this ribosomal RNA (301 nucleotides) under uncultured bacterium. RNAcentral describes it as "partial 16S ribosomal RNA". It matches the Rfam family "Bacterial small subunit ribosomal RNA", at positions 509 to 807 of the family's 1533-position model. The record is from RNAcentral.
CAGCAUCCACGGGAAUACAGAGGGUGCGAGCGUUAAUCGGAUUUACUGGGCGUAAAGCGUGCGUAGGCGGCUUUUUAAGUCGGAUGUGAAAUCCCUGAGCUUAACUUAGGAAUUGCAUUCGAUACUGGGAAGCUAGAGUAUGGGAGAGGAUGGUAGAAUUCCAGGUGUAGCGGUGAAAUGCGUAGAGAUCUGGAGGAAUACCGAUGGCGAAGGCAGCCAUCUGGCCUAAUACUGACGCUGAGGUACGAAAGCAUGGGGAGCAAACAGGAUUAGAUACCCCCGUAGUCCCUGUCUCUUAUAC